AUAAACAAGGUACACCAUCAUCAUAGUUUGACUCAAGACAUCCACAGCAGCAGCAUCCCAGCAACCAAAGAGACUCAAGCAACUUAAGAACAUAUUGUACACCAGGAAAGGCAAGGUAGUCGUAAAAACCAUCCAGCAAUGUGCAUACACCCUGGAGUGGACAAAUCAUAUAGCUUCCAUCAAGCACAGGUAGCCUCUGCAGGAAAGUAACAUUCUCGUCGAGCAAUAAAGCAGCCCUAUAACUAUUUCACAAGCAAGACCUCGGCAGAGAAACUACCAAACAACAUUUAUGAUUAAAAAAAUGGUUACUACAUUUUGUGUGAAUUAAGAGCCAAUCAACCACAGGGACCAUCAAUUUCAAUUGAGAAACACCUGUGAAGAGAAAUUUGCCAAGAACAUCCUACUUACUAGGUUCAGUCUAGGAAGAAAGGGUUAUCAUGGUGAAGCUAUUGUGUCCAUUAUGCUGGCAGGCUGUUGAAACAGAAGUUCGCGGUUCGCCUAUUUAUGCACUGCAACAUGACCGAAAUGGCUUACAUAUUCUAUUCACUUUGAAGAUUCAUGCCCCAGAUAGUACUUAUCUGAAUACUUGGCAGUUAGAGUGGUUUACAUGUUACACACACAUAUAUAUAUAUAUAAAUAAGCUAUGAAAAAUCUGAGUUUCAUUUUGGCAACCAAUCUGCCAUAUAUACUAUCAUUCAGGACUAAAGAAGUUUGCUAAACUAGGUUGAAGACUAUCCUGUUCAAUUUUUUGUAUGGUUAGAAUAGCUAAUCAUUCAGGGACUAUAGUGAGAGCGUCUCAGACGUUUAGGAACCCAAAUAACUGUUUACUCAAAAAUAAAAUUAUGCAGGUUGCUGUAGAUGUUCAUUGUUCAAAUCAGAGCUUCUUCUUGGCAGCCAUAUAUCCUAUCAUUCAGGACUACAGAUGUUUGCUAAACAAUUAAAUGAUAUAGGUAUUGAGUCUAUUUUAUUAAAAAUGCUUUUUUUUUUUUUGGUAGAUAGACAAAAUGGCAAAACNNNNNNNNCCGGGGUUCGAACCCCGGUCCUGGCGUCCAGCCAAACAAUUUCGGCAUUUCUUGCGAGUUGAGCUAGGACUUGUGAACUAUUAAAAAGACAUUUAAAUGGUACAUGACAGGGAAAAAUUGUAACAGACCAAACUCUCACCUCUCUUUGGAAUACAAAAAUUCACAAUGGAUUAAAUCUAGAAACUUGAGCCAAAAAUAGAAACCAAUUGUUGCCAUGACAAAGGUUUGGAUGCACUAUAAUAAUUGAUUUUUGCUGGAUUAAAUCUAACUUUCAUUGAUUCAUUCCACUCGGUUUUUCUUCUUUCUGUUCUGAUUGAAGUCAUCGGUGGCCUCAUCUUCAGUAGAGAAUCUCUUCACAGAGCGUUCAUUUUCAUCACCUCUACAAGCAAC
This 1412-nucleotide long non-coding RNA is filed under the name Trifolium pratense (red clover). RNAcentral describes it as "long non-coding RNA (TPRA_LNC010279)". Lineage: Eukaryota; Viridiplantae; Streptophyta; Magnoliopsida; Fabales; Fabaceae. The record is from RNAcentral.